CAUGAUAUAGUUACAUACGCGCAAAGAAUAGUUUAGUUUAGAAUCCUAGCUUUGGGAGCUAGGGGUAGGAGUUAAAAUCUCCUUUCUUU
RNAcentral lists this transfer RNA (89 nucleotides) under Anarhichas lupus (Atlantic wolffish). RNAcentral describes it as "tRNA-Pro". The stretch from base 22 to 89 matches the Rfam family "tRNA". Rfam says of the family: Transfer RNA (tRNA) molecules are approximately 80 nucleotides in length. The record is from RNAcentral. Lineage: Eukaryota; Metazoa; Chordata; Actinopteri; Perciformes; Anarhichadidae.